UUUUCAACGUCUAAAGCUUUCUUUGCUACAGAAUGAGCAGCUAUAUUACAGCCCCUUGGAGCAAAUUGGAUUGAUGCUUGGCUCUGGAUCCUAAGCCUUGUCUGGAUUUCUGCAAUAAUCCAUUCAAUUUCUGACUUGCUUUCCUUUCUGUUUAAUGAAAGAUCCACCACCUCCUUUGAAUCUGACUCAAUGACCAUUGGCACACAAGC
This 209-nucleotide long non-coding RNA is filed under the name Citrus maxima (pomelo). RNAcentral describes it as "long non-coding RNA (CMAX_LNC003474)". Lineage: Eukaryota; Viridiplantae; Streptophyta; Magnoliopsida; Sapindales; Rutaceae. The record is from RNAcentral.